AUUGAACGCUAGCGGGAUGCUUUACACAUGCAAGUCGAACGGCAGCGCGGACUUCGGUCUGGCGGCGAGUGGCGAACGGGUGAGUAAUGUAUCGGAACGUGCCCAGUAGCGGGGGAUAACUACGCGAAAGCGUAGCUAAUACCGCAUACCCCCUACGGGGGAAAGCAGGGGAUCGUAAGACCUUGCACUAUUGGAGCGGCCGAUAUCGGAUUAGCUAGUUGGUGAGGUAACGGCUCACCAAGGCGACGAUCCGUAGCUGGUUUGAGAGGACGACCAGCCACACUGGGACUGAGACACGGCCCAGACUCCUACGGGAGGCAGCAGUGGGGAAUUUUGGACAAUGGGGGCAACCCUGAUCCAGCCAUCCCGCGUGUGCGAUGAAGGCCUUCGGGUUGUAAAGCACUUUUGGCAGGAAAGAAACGGCGCGGGCUAAUACCCCGUGGAACUGACGGUACCUGCAGAAUAAGCACCGGCUAACUACGUG
Molecule: ribosomal RNA, 484 nt
Filed under: uncultured bacterium
Lineage: Bacteria
Description: partial 16S ribosomal RNA
Rfam family: Bacterial small subunit ribosomal RNA
Source: RNAcentral